Molecule: ribosomal RNA, 253 nt
Filed under: uncultured bacterium
Lineage: Bacteria
Description: partial 16S ribosomal RNA
Rfam family: Bacterial small subunit ribosomal RNA
Source: RNAcentral
UACGAAGGGUGCAAGCGUUACUCGGAAUUACUGGGCGUAAAGCGUGCGUAGGUGGUUCGUUAAGUCUGCCGUGAAAGCCCCGGGCUCAACCUGGGAAUGGCGGUGGAUACUGGCGGACUAGAGUGCGGUAGAGGGUGGUGGAAUUCCCGGUGUAGCAGUGAAAUGCGUAGAGAUGUGGAGGAACACCGAUGGCGAAGGCAGCCCCCUGGGUUAACACUGACGCUCAGGCACGAAAGCGUGGGGAGCAAACAGG